AAAUGUUUACAUGAUUGUGGGUGUAAUGUUGUUAACUCGCUGAUGUCGUUUUUGAGAAGACAGUAGUUUUGCAUUUGAUAAAUACCACCUAAUGACCAUGACGGCUACACGGCAGAUCUUUAUUGUGAUGGCUACACUGAAUGAUCACAUGGAGAUGCCGGUACAUUAUUUGUUUUACCCUGGUUAUAUUGAAAUGUUCUGCUUUGUCCAUUCCAAGGUUGUGGUGUUUUCCAUAGCUGUUCCUUGCUCCUGUAUCACAACAUAUCAAGGCUGCCAAGUAAAUGAAGAAUGAAUCACCGCACACUGGUCAACAGCAGACAGGGUCCUUCCACAACCACAUACUUAUGCCAGUAAAAGCUACAGCUUUUCUCCUCCGAUCCAAGAAGCCUGGACUGCAGUCACCAUCUCAACACACCAACCAAGAGAAAGGCGGAUGGCUCAAUUCAAUAUGGAAAAUUGCACAAUAAAAGUUCCAGGACAUGAAGGCUGCAUACUGUGAACGUCAACCUUCAGGGCACCGUCCUGCGCAGAAGACUUUCUACCCUAAGAGGGAUGGCUGACCGCAGACACUCACAACCAGCACAGACGCCUCCAACCUCAGACUAGGCC
Long non-coding RNA from Engraulis encrasicolus (European anchovy), 609 nucleotides. RefSeq lists it as uncharacterized. Lineage: Eukaryota; Metazoa; Chordata; Actinopteri; Clupeiformes; Engraulidae. The record is from RefSeq and is a predicted model, not a curated record. The transcript is spliced from 4 exons.